Molecule: ribosomal RNA, 253 nt
Filed under: uncultured bacterium
Lineage: Bacteria
Description: partial 16S ribosomal RNA
Rfam family: Bacterial small subunit ribosomal RNA
Source: RNAcentral
UACGUAGGGGGCUAGCGUUGUCCGGAUUUAUUGGGCGUAAAGAGCGUGUAGGCGGCCAGGUAGGUCUGCUAUGAAAACUCGAGGCUUAACCUCGAGAUGUCGGCGGAAACCAUCUGGCUAGAGUCCGGAAGAGGAGAGUGGAAUUCCUGGUGUAGCGGUGAAAUGCGUAGAUAUCUGGAGGAACACCGGUGGCGAAGGCGGCAUCCUGGACCGGCAUUGACGCUGAGGCGCGAAAGCUAGGGGAGCAAACGGG